This 520-nucleotide ribosomal RNA is filed under the name uncultured Glomus. RNAcentral describes it as "SSU rRNA". It matches the Rfam family "Eukaryotic small subunit ribosomal RNA", at positions 569 to 1087 of the family's 1831-position model. Lineage: Eukaryota; Fungi; Glomeromycota; Glomeromycetes; Glomerales; Glomeraceae. The record is from RNAcentral.
AGCAGCCGCGGUAAUUCCAGCUCCAAUAGCGUAUAUUAAAGUUGUUGCAGUUAAAAAGCUCGUAGUUGAAUUUCGGGGUCAGUAAGUUGGUCGUGCCACUGGUAUGUACUGGCUUUACUUCGAUUCCCUCCUUCUUGUAGAACCGUAAUGCCAUUAAGUUGGUGUUGCGGGAAAACAGGACUGUUACUUUGAAAAAAUUAGAGUGUUUAAAGCAAGCUAACGCUUGAAUACAUUAGCAUGGAAUAAUGAAAUAGGACGAACGAUCCUAUUUUGUUGGUUUCUAGGAUUGACGUAAUGAUUAAUAGGGAUAGUUGGGGGCAUUAGUAUUCAAUUGUCGGAGGUGAAAUUCUUGGAUUUAUUGAAGACUAACUACUGCGAAAGCAUUUGCCAAGGAUGUUUUCAUUAAUCAAGAACGAAAGUUAGGGGAUCGAAGACGAUCAGAUACCGUCGUAGUCUUAACCAUAAACUAUGCCGACUAGGGAUCGGAUGAUGUUAAUUUUUUAAUGACUCAUUCGGCGCC